This is a long non-coding RNA of Manis pentadactyla (Chinese pangolin), 1213 nucleotides long. RefSeq lists it as uncharacterized. The transcript is spliced from 6 exons. Lineage: Eukaryota; Metazoa; Chordata; Mammalia; Pholidota; Manidae. The record is from RefSeq and is a predicted model, not a curated record.
CCUUGGCAUUUUGCGUCCUUGUGCUUUUUCCCAGCAUUUCUUUCUCCCUUCUCUCUACACCAGAGGCCAGCAAUUUCUUUUUUCUGUAAGAGGCCAAAUAGCAAAUAGGUUAGGCAUUGUGGGUCGUAUGGUCUCUGUUGCAACUAUUCAACUCUGCCAUUAUUAUGGGAAAGCAGCCAUAAAUAAUAUCUAAACGAAUGAGUGUGGCUGUGUUUCAAAGUUCAUAUAUAAAAUGUUACAUAUAAAAAUAGGCAACAGGACAGAUUAAUCUUGUAGGCUCUAGUUUGCUGACCCUUGAUUUAUGCUAUUAAAUCCCAGCCAGUUUUAUUUCCUUUGUAGAUUCUGAAGAGCAACAUUAUUACCUAUGACAACUGACCUCUUAGAAUAUGGAAGAUUCCAGCCCCUCUGUAUCUGUAGAUAGCAAUCCUAGAUGUUAGACAAGAACUUUUCUUACUCAAAUUGUUUACCAAACUUAAUAAAAAUACAACAAACCAGGUAACCCACAAGGCCUGCUCCCUUCUCUCUUUUCAGGACCAGUGUGCUGAGUAUUGGGGGAAAAAAAUGCAAAAUUGGAAACUCAGCUGUACUCGGGAGAGAGAUCCUGUACAUGAUGCUGACGGAAAAACAUGCAAAUAGAAGCAAAGGAAAAAAAUAAGCAUCCCGGCAACAGAUCAAAUGGGACUGAAGCAACUCAGGAAAGGAUAUAUGUGAUGAGUUUAGAAGCCAAAUGAAAAAUGGUCGACUUAUCUGCACCUGAGAAAGUGACUCUGUCCAUGGUCCAGACUGCAGGACAUGUGGCAGGAAAGAGAAGCAGCCGAAAGAAAAAAGAAAGACAAGGAGAACACGGGAAGCACAGGAGAGAAGAACAACGAAAAGCAGGUUUUGACGGGUGCGUGUUUGACAGGAUCAGUGCCAUGAAUUCCGGGACAUGGUGAGAAACUGAAAGCUGGUGUGCACUGCAGACUAUGAUCCUGUUCGAGGUCCAUAUGACAAGAUGCACCCCAACAAGUGUGCCACGUGUCAGAGCAUGUUUGAGCGAGAAGUUAACGAAAGAAAAAAGAAUGAAGAAACAUCAAGUGCCAAGCCCUCAAACUAUGCAAAGGUUAUUUCUUAGAAGCUACGAAGAUAACUGUUUUACUGCUCAUCCUCAGAAUCUUGAAUGCUACUCCAGUUUUAGGAUAAUAAAGAUGCUAAUCUUUUGCUUCAAAGAAAA